RNAcentral lists this ribosomal RNA (579 nucleotides) under uncultured bacterium. RNAcentral describes it as "bacterial SSU rRNA". It matches the Rfam family "Bacterial small subunit ribosomal RNA", at positions 338 to 916 of the family's 1533-position model. The record is from RNAcentral.
CCUACGGGAGGCAGCAGUGGGGAAUAUUGGACAAUGGGCGAAAGCCUGAUCCAGCAAUUCCGCGUGUGUGAAGAAGGCCUUCGGGUUGUAAAGCACUUUAGUUGGGGAAGAAACAGCUUGGCCACACCAAGCCUUGACGGUACCCAAAGAAUAAGCACCGGCUAACUCUGUGCCAGCAGCCGCGGUAAUACAGAGGGUGCAAGCGUUAAUCGGAUUUACUGGGCGUAAAGGGUGCGUAGGUGGUUUUGUAAGUCGGAUGUGAAAGCCUGGGGCUCAACCUCAGAAUUGCACUCGAUACUGCAAGACUAGAGUUCGGUAGAGGGCGGCGGAAUUCCCGGUGUAGCGGUGAAAUGCGUAGAUAUCGGGAGGAACAUCAAUGGCGAAGGCAGCCGCCUGGGCCUGAACUGACACUGAGGCACGAAAGCGUGGGUAGCAAACAGGAUUAGAUACCCUGGUAGUCCACGCUGUAAACGAUGAGAACUUGACGUUGGUUCGUUUUACGAAUCGGUGUCGCAGCUAACGCGAUAAGUUCUCCGCCUGGGGAGUCGGCCGCAAGGUUGAAACUUAAGGAAUUGACGG